AUACGGAGGAUGCAAGCGUUAUCCGGAUUUAUUGGGUUUAAAGGGUGCGUAGGCGGUUUGCUAAGCGGGAGGUGAAAUGCCGGCGCUCAACGUCGGAAGUGCCUCCCGAACUGGUGGACUGGAAUGACUCUGCCGUGGGAGGAAUGUGUAGUGUAGCGGUGAAAUGCUUAGAGAUUACACAGAACACCGAUUGCGAAGGCAUCUCACGAAGGGUUGAUUGACGCUGAGGCACGAAAGCGUGGGGAUCAAACAGGAUUAGAUACCCUGGUAGUCCACGCAGUAAACGAUGAUGGCUAACCGCUGGUUUAUUCGGAUCAGUGGCCAAGCGAAAGCGAUAAGUCAUCCACCUGGGGAGUACGACCGCAAGGUUGAAACUCAAAGGAAUUGACGGGG
Molecule: ribosomal RNA, 393 nt
Filed under: uncultured bacterium
Lineage: Bacteria
Description: partial 16S ribosomal RNA
Rfam family: Bacterial small subunit ribosomal RNA
Source: RNAcentral